AGAGUUUGAUCCUGGCUCAGGACGAACGCUGGCGGCGUGCCUAACACAUGCAAGUCGAACGGAACUGUUUUGAAAGAUUUCUUCGGAAUGAAUUUGAUUUAGUUUAGUGGCGGACGGGUGAGUAACGCGUGAGUAACCUGCCUUCAAGAGGGGGAUAACAUUCUGAAAAGAAUGCUAAUACCGCAUGACAUAUCGGAACCACAUGGUUCUGAUAUCAAAGAUUUUAUCGCUUGAAGAUGGACUCGCGUCCGAUUAGUUAGUUGGUGAGGUAACGGCUCACCAAGACCGCGAUCGGUAGCCGGACUGAGAGGUUGAACGGCCACAUUGGGACUGAGACACGGCCCAGACUCCUACGGGAGGCAGCAGUGGGGGAUAUUGCGCAAUGGGGGCAACCCUGACGCAGCAACGCCGCGUGAAGGAUGAAGGUUUUCGGAUUGUAAACUUCUUUUAUUAAGGACGAAAAAUGACGGUACUUAAUGAAUAAGCUCCGGCUAACUACGUGCCAGCAGCCGCGGUAAUACGUAGGGAGCAAGCGUUGUCCGGAUUUACUGGGUGUAAAGGGUGCGUAGGCGGCUUUGCAAGUCAGAUGUGAAAUCUAUGGGCUCAACCCAUAAACUGCAUUUGAAACUGUAGAGCUUGAGUGAAGUAGAGGCAGGCGGAAUUCCCCGUGUAGCGGUGAAAUGCGUAGAGAUGGGGAGGAACACCAGUGGCGAAGGCGGCCUGCUGGGCUUUAACUGACGCUGAGGCACGAAAGCGUGGGUAGCAAACAGGAUUAGAUACCCUGGUAGUCCACGCUGUAAACGAUGAUUACUAGGUGUGGGGGGUCUGACCCCUUCCGUGCCGGAGUUAACACAAAAAGUAAUCCACCUGGGGAGUACGGCCGCAAG
RNAcentral lists this ribosomal RNA (887 nucleotides) under uncultured bacterium. Its description in RNAcentral is "bacterial SSU rRNA". It matches the Rfam family "Bacterial small subunit ribosomal RNA", at positions 8 to 892 of the family's 1533-position model. The record is from RNAcentral.